ACGGACUCAUCAUUCCAGCCAAUCAGCAGCAGACCCUCCCUCCCAGGCCCUCCCAUCUCCUGGACAGCAUCCAUUUUGAAGCUACAUUCUUUAGUGAGCUGUCCAGGAGUUGGGAGGGUCUGGGAAGGUCUGCUGCUGAUUGGCUGGAAUGAUGAGUCCG
Non-coding RNA from Pelobates cultripes (western spadefoot toad), 160 nucleotides. The record is from the annotation of a GenBank genome assembly. NCBI's taxonomy places the organism in Eukaryota, Metazoa, Chordata, Amphibia, Anura, Pelobatidae.